Molecule: transfer RNA, 48 nt
Filed under: Aulacomnium androgynum
Lineage: Eukaryota; Viridiplantae; Streptophyta; Bryopsida; Aulacomniales; Aulacomniaceae
Description: partial tRNA-Phe
Rfam family: tRNA
About the family: Transfer RNA (tRNA) molecules are approximately 80 nucleotides in length.
Source: RNAcentral
GCCGGGAUAGCUCAKUUGGUAGAGCAGAGGACUGAAAAUCCUCGUGUC